Molecule: long non-coding RNA, 3372 nt
Organism: Homo sapiens (human)
Lineage: Eukaryota; Metazoa; Chordata; Mammalia; Primates; Hominidae
Source: Ensembl
UCUGUUUGGGAGUGUCUGUUUCUGGCAGCCAAACUCAGUUCUAGCUGACACAAACAGCAUCUCUCCCUACUCUAGUUUCAGUGAAGAUUUCAUGGACUAGGGAAGGGCAAAGAGGGGCGAAAGAGAGCAUUGAAGUAAAUUACAACUGGGUGCUUUUGAGAAAGGACCUUGAACUCUGUCCCUACAGCUGGCUGAAUCCCAGGAGGAACCUCUAGAAACCCCAAGGUAAACAUGGGGAUGCAGGUAAACAUGAGGGAAGCUCUUGCUGGGUUUCUUUGUACCCCAGUGAAUCAGAGAUUAUUUUGUCAAUGCUAUAUGUUUAACUUACAGGAAUGCUCAAAGUUAAACAUAACAGGAGAUAAAAUGAGGAUCAUUAGUCUUGUAAAUUUUUCCUCAAGUUCAAGGUGAAAACACAUCCUGUGACAUUUGUGGAGGACAGUUUUCAUUGUAGCUUAAGUACUUUGCAUUUCUCCAAGUGAAUUGGUUGACACCUGCUAAAUAUGAAAAGUUUAUCUGUAAGCACUGGGUCCUAUGAAACACUAAAUCCCAAGGAAAAAAGUGGGAAUGCCAUCAAUUUUCUCCCUUUACAGAUUAAGAAAAUAGAUAAUUUCAAGGGGCAGUUUGCUAGGGUACCACAUGGGAAAUUUAAGGUGAAGUCAAUUAGUAGUGCCACAUGCUGUAUAUCUCAUUCUGAACGUGUCCCUGUAAGAGUUAAAUCUAUCUGGAGCCACAUACUGAAAACCCGAUCACAACAGCUGCUCUCUGAGCCCCUUCUGCAGAAAAGAAAGAAAAUAAGUUUUAAUUAAAUUGUAUUAAUUGGUUUAGCUGAUCUGGAAAUAGAGUAAGGGUUCUACUCUAAUUUUGUUUUUUUGGCUGAAGUCCACUUGUCUUUGACAUGAGAAUAAAGGAAUGAAGCAAUAAAAUGCCUAGAAAUGCCCUGGUAGAGACUUUUAAACUGUCCAAGGUUAAAAAGCGCUGCUAUCUCUGAGAUGAACUUAAAAUUCUGCUGCCAACUCUGAGAAGUCAGAAGUGCAAGCAAGAAAAGAAGAAUGUGAUUAAAAACCCUGCUUCCUUAAAGCUCUGCAAAGCUGCAAAGAAAAGCCAGGCAUUCUUCCCAUAAUAGUGAGCACUUGUUAGAGAGAAAAGGAGAAGGUUGUGAAAGCAUCAGGGUAUAAUGACCUUAUUUCAGGCCACUCAGCGUAAGUUUUCGUAUAUAAGGUAACUGAAAUUUCUAAGUGUAGCUUAACAGUUUGAUGUUACGAUGUGCAAAAUACAUUUUGUUUUACUUAAAAACAUAUUUGAUUCCACCUUCCAUGCCUGUAUUGCAGCAUUUUUAACCAGUUAUUAAAAAUAGAAAUUAUUUUAAAAGACAUAAUGCUAAUACAACACACUUGUAUUUUUUUGCUUCCAUGUAUAAGGUAAAGUUUAAAUAUAGUCACGAUCACCUGAAACCAUUCAUUAAAUGGCAAAAUUCUGUGACACAGAGAGGAUACUCUAUAAAGAAUGGCUUAAAUUUUGUUCUCUAGAAAACAUGCAGUUAAAAUUUCUUGUGAAAAGAAAUGCAUAUGGGAUAACAAGCUUGCUAUAGGCUGAAUGUAUAUGUCUCCCCAAAAUACAAGUGUUAAAGUCCUGAAAUCCCCAAUGUGAUGUUAUUUGGAGACGGGGCCUUUGGGAGGUAAUUAGGGUUCUAUUAAGUCAUGAGGUCAGGACCACCGCAAUGGGUUUAGCACUUUAUAAAAAGAGACACUAGAAAUCUUGCUCUCUCUUUCUCUCCAUCAUGUGAGGACAUGGUGAGAAGACAGCCAUCUGCAAGCCAGAAAGAGCGCUAACCAGAACGCAACCAUGUGGAUACCCCGAUCUCAUAGUCCCAGCCUCCAAAACUGUACGUUCAGCAAUGCUUCAGGCAUUGUGGCCAAAUGAUGAUAUGAAUGAGACUGGAUUCUCCAGUAGGAAAUGGACUUGGCCUCAAGGUGGGCCUCUCCCAGAUGGCAACUUGUUUAUCAAAGCAUGAAAACCAAGAAGGUGAUAAAGAAAGUCUGCUAGCAAGACAUAAGUCACAAUCUUUUGUAAUCUAUUUAUGAAAGUGACAUCCCAUCAUCUUGACCACAAUCUAUUGAUUAGAAACAAGUACAGCUCACCCUCAACAAGAGGAGAUAAUAUCCAGGUGUGAAUUGCACAAGACUAAUCCAGUGGAAAAACUAUAUUCGACCCAAGGAUCUGUAUCCACACAGUUUGACAAUAAUUUACUUCUUUCUGGAAGCGAUGAGCACAGUGUAAUUCCUGAGAAAUUUUAAUAAUGAUAUUUUAAUUAUAAUUAAGUGAAACCUAGCAAAGUUGGCUGUAUCUGGAGGAACUCCACUGUGGGAAACAGAUUCUUAAGAUGGCUGAAGAUGGCUGUUUCGCUGCAUCAAUGUGUGACUUUCAAUAGAUGAUCGAAGAUGGCUGUUUGGCACUGUGUCUGAAUUAAGCCAGAAGGAAGGAGGAAGAAGAUGAAGAAAAGGCAUGCCUCUACCCCUUAGGACCACGUCUCUGAAGCUGUAUACAACAUUUCUGCUCUCAUAUAAUUGGGCAGAACUUAGUCAUAGAGCUACAUGUAGUUGCAAGGGAAGCUAUAUGCACUAAUGUGCUUAGUUAAACAUUGGGAUUCUCUUACUAAGGUACAUAAGGAGAACAUAUAUUUGGAGAGGCAACUAUCCAUCUCUGCCACAAGAUCUGAAACAAUUAUUGUGAGACUAUAAACAUAGAAAAAAGCUCCAGAGAUCAGGGGGAAGUCAGAAAUUAUUUGGGAUUCCAGUGAAUGGAAUGUUGACCAUAAAUGAGAAAUGAUGCUUGGGAUAAUUCCUAGCGAGCAUUGGCUUUUAGAGUUGGGAUUGAAGUCAACCAGCUAUAAAGAGCAAGACUGGGUGGGGUACUUUGAAAUGUCAUAUCAUUGUGUAUGGCUUUUGUGGUAGUUACUGCUUCUUUUUAGAAUAAUUCUCAUAACUAGGUAGAAAGCUCACCUUUGAAACUUCUGCAUGCCUAAUAAAAUGCUUCACUCACACCCAGUUGUUUUACUCAAGCGAGUAGUUUUAUGGUAACUGCAUUUGGGGUAACAGUCUUACAGAAGAGUUAACACAAUGGGCAGAUUCCAGGUGUGCUGUCAUUUGGAGGAGGCAAAUCCAUACAGACAAGAAGUAGAUUAGUGGUUGCCUAGAGCUGGAGGAGGGUAGGGAUAAGGAAUGGAUUACUACUGGGACUGGGUUUCUUUUUGGGGUGAUGAAAAUUUUCUAAAAUUGAUUGUGGUGAUGGUUGCCUAACUCUGUGAAUAGCAAUGAAUUGUGCUAUUGUACACUUUAGGUAAAUGGUAUGGUAUAUGAGUUAUAUCCCCAAUAA